AGUUAUUUAUCUUUAAGGAAAGUAUGUGUUUUGAAAGCACCCCAAAAGGGUUCGAUCCCCUUAAUAACUU
This 70-nucleotide transfer RNA is filed under the name Caridina indistincta A. Its description in RNAcentral is "tRNA-Ser". It matches the Rfam family "tRNA". From Rfam's summary of the family: Transfer RNA (tRNA) molecules are approximately 80 nucleotides in length. Their secondary structure includes four short double-helical elements and three loops (D, anti-codon, and T loops). Further hydrogen bonds mediate the characteristic L-shaped molecular structure. tRNAs have two regions of fundamental functional importance: the anti-codon, which is responsible for specific mRNA codon recognition, and the 3' end, to which the tRNAs corresponding amino acid is attached (by aminoacyl-tRNA synthetases). tRNAs cope with the degeneracy of the genetic code in two manners: having more than one tRNA (with a specific anti-codon) for a particular amino acid; and 'wobble' base-pairing, i.e. permitting non-standard base-pairing at the 3rd anti-codon position. The record is from RNAcentral. Lineage: Eukaryota; Metazoa; Arthropoda; Malacostraca; Decapoda; Atyidae.